This 395-nucleotide ribosomal RNA is filed under the name uncultured bacterium. RNAcentral's name for it is "bacterial SSU rRNA". It matches the Rfam family "Bacterial small subunit ribosomal RNA", at positions 505 to 898 of the family's 1533-position model. The record is from RNAcentral.
GUGUCAGCAGCCGCGGUAAUACAGAGGGUGCAAGCGUUAAUCGGAAUUACUGGGCGUAAAGGGCGCGUAGGUGGGAAAAUAAGUUGGAUGUGAAAUCCCCGGGCUUAACCUGGGAGCGUCAACCAGUACUGUUUUUCUAGAGUAUGGUAGAGGGAAGUGGAAUUUCCGGUGUAGCGGUGAAAUGCGUAGAUAUCGGAAGGAACACCAGUGGCGAAGGCGGCUUCCUGGACUAAUACUGACACUGAGGCGCGAAAGCGUGGGGAGCGAACAGGAUUAGAUACCCUGGUAGUCCACGCUGUAAACGAUGAGGACUAGCCGUUGGGUUUUUAAAAAGACCAAGUGGCGCAGCAAACGCGAUAAGUUCUCCGCCUGGGGAGUACGGCCGCAAGGCUAAA